Phalacrocorax carbo (great cormorant) is the source of this 2044-nucleotide non-coding RNA. Lineage: Eukaryota; Metazoa; Chordata; Aves; Suliformes; Phalacrocoracidae. The record is from RefSeq and is a predicted model, not a curated record.
UGUAAAAAAAUAAUUUUUUUUUUCUUUAAACCUAUGAACAAUAGUCUUUAUUUUCUAACACUGUCAGAUAAAAUUGGUAAAAUCUGAGCAUAUUAUGCUCUAUUCUGUAGUAGUAAGUAACCAAACAUAAAUGCUUGUCCCCUAUUCUUUAAAAACUAAAUUGAGUGCAGCCUGUUCCAAGAUGUCACUGAAGUUACCGAGAUUCCUACUGAUUUCCACAGGGAUAGGACAAACCCAUUUCUCAGUUCAUGCAUAUGCUCCAGAAGGAUCUCAAGUUAUCCUACAGGACCAACAAUCAGCAGCUCACUGUCAUACUCCUACACCAAGUUCAACUGUAGAGCUAACAAACAAAAUUUUGUCUCAUUAUGACUUGCCACAUUCCUAUCACUAGUGAGUGUGCGUGCUGUACAAUGACUAUUGUCUGACUCCUCUCUUUGGAAAGGAGAUGUUCUUUUGAAUUUCACACCUACAGGUUUAAGCCUUACACAUAGAAAAGAGAUUGACCUGUAGCACUGUGGAAAGCAGUCUUCUGCAUCCUAGCAGUAGCAAAAGGAAACCGUGUGGGCUGAAAGAGAGAAGGCAGCUGCACAAUUCUCUGAACCAGAUACACAAUGUAAUACCUCUAUAGUGUAGUCAGGACAUAACCCCUCAGGUGUGAAGGGAAUAUCAAGUCAGCUUUAAAAGAUACAGAUUUUUAGUGCAUUUGAUUAAUAAUUUGACAUGACUUAUGCCAAAACCAGGCAAAAACCAACACCUUUUUUAUUCAUUAAGAGAGAUAUAGAACAUAACCCAAACUGCCAAAGUUAAUCACAGGGAGAUCUCAAAAAAUAGGCUGCUAGAUGAAGAGAGAAAAUUGAGAUCAUCUUGUUUAGGUACCUCAUGUAAUAGAAAAAUGAAUAUUUAUAGUGAACUUAGGAAGCCUAAUUUCAGCCACAGUUUAAAUGAGAAAACUAUUUCCUGCAAAAUUCAUUCUGGAAAAAAAAAAAUUCUUGAGCAAAAAAAGAUUUUCUCUAAUAAACCUCAAACUCAGCAGUACAUUCUGUCCCUUUGGACUGAAAAUAUUUCAAUUACUGUAUCAUUACAUAUUAUUAUAUUUUCAUCUUUCCAGCUGUAAAGUUUUCUACUGUAAAAGUUUCCUUGACUUUUGUACAUGUUCUCUAGAAUUUGUUUAUCAUUUCACUCAGACACUGGCACUGUCUCAGAAAUAAAGAGAAAGAAACAAAACAAACUAAAAAAAUAAAACAAAAUAGAAGUAGAAAUAUAAAGAUGCAAAGCCAGCAAACACACAAAAUUGUAGCUUUCUAACUUUAAAGACAUGAAGAAGAAAAGGCUGAAAGAAUUAUAAUAAGGAUGAAAGUUAAAAAGAGCAAAGAUGUGGGAGUGGAAUCUCGAAAUGAGACAAAGAAGGAAAAAGAAAGGCCAAACAAGAAAAGUAAAUUAUCAUAAUGAAAACUAAAAGCCUCCCUUGAUCUGUCUUAAAAAUAGAUACUAAUGUUUUGCAGAUUAACUCUGGUUUUGUAAUUACGGUCUUAUGGAGAAAUGGAUGUUGGUGAACCAAACUGCUCACUUAGGGAGCGUAGCUAAAUCCAUGGCAUAGCAGAAACAGCUGCUGCCCAUUAUGCUUUGCUUUUUGAUGAUGAGUGGUAACGAAGGUUGGGAAAAGGUGACCAUUCAGCACUUUUGAUUAUGAGGUAAUGGCUCCAAUGAUGUUAGCAAAACAAUUAAAAACACCAUCAGUCCUAUUCUCUGUGAAGCCACUUAAUGUUGUUUCCAACUCUCUCUGCUGUCCUAAAAUGUAUUCACAUAUGGAGUAAUAUUGAAGGUUAGGGUAAAAUUGGAGCAAAUCAGAAUUAAAGGAGAUUUUGUGCAUUACAUACAAAGCCUUAAUCCAAACUGGGUAAUUCAGUGUUCCUAUGCUAUGUAUUUAAAUCAAAACUAUUACUCUUGUUCUCAUAAAAGGAACAGUAAACCUUGCUCUCUGUAAUGUCUUUGACUGGAAAGCUUUUUCUGUAUGCUAUUCAGAAAAGAUAUAUGAAUUUUCACA